Long non-coding RNA from Anolis carolinensis (green anole), 572 nucleotides. RefSeq lists it as uncharacterized. NCBI's taxonomy places the organism in Eukaryota, Metazoa, Chordata, Lepidosauria, Squamata, Anolidae. The transcript is spliced from 3 exons. The record is from RefSeq and is a predicted model, not a curated record.
AUUGCUUUAAUGUACAAGGGCUAAAGUUUAAGAUCACAGUUCAAGAAGAAUAUUGACAAGAUGCAACACAUACAGAGGAGCAGGAACAAAAUGAUUACACCUGAGGUCAGCUUCUACAUGAGUAUAUAGAAGAAGAAGCAGAAGUGAAAGUGGAAGCAGAAGCUGAAGGAGAAGCUGAAGCCAAAACCAAAACCAAAGCAUAAGGAGAAGGAGAUGGAGAAAGAGGAGACGGUGACGGAGACGGAGACAGAGAUGGAGAAGAGAGGAAGAAGAAGGAGAAGGAGAAGAUGCCAGCAUUCUUACCAGAGUUGCUAAUGCAUGCUGUAUUACCGGUGAAGGUGAAGAUCUUGGCUCUACAGCAUGUCCACUGGCCAGAAACUAUUGUACUUUACCUGGGUCAUGUAAACAUCUGUGCUGUAUAAUCAGGUUUGUGUACCAAUGGUAUUGCUUAACUUAAAUCUAAUAAAGUUAGUGGACCUAUGCUAAAAAAGCAAAGAAAAUACAAUAUGUUCCUAGUUUGAAAGUAUUAUUUCCUGUUUAAUGGUGUAGUCCUUACUUUAAAAGUAGUGAAU